Molecule: ribosomal RNA, 305 nt
Filed under: Escherichia coli
Lineage: Bacteria; Pseudomonadati; Pseudomonadota; Gammaproteobacteria; Enterobacterales; Enterobacteriaceae
Description: partial 23S ribosomal RNA
Rfam family: Bacterial large subunit ribosomal RNA
Source: RNAcentral
GAAAGACCCCGUGAACCUUUACUAUAGCUUGACACUGAACAUUGAGCCUUGAUGUGUAGGAUAGGUGGGAGGCUUUGAAGUGUGGACGCCAGUCUGCAUGGAGCCGACCUUGAAAUACCACCCUUUAAUGUUUGAUGUUCUAACGUGGGCCCCUAAUCGGGGUUGCGGACAGUGUCUGGUGGGUAGUUUGACUGGGGCGGUCUCCUCCUAAAGAGUAACGGAGGAGCACGAAGGUUGGCUAAUCCUGGUCGGACAUCAGGAGGUUAGUGCAAUGGCAUAAGCCAGCUUGACUGCGAGCGUGACGG